RNAcentral lists this small RNA (91 nucleotides) under Flavobacterium saccharophilum. RNAcentral's name for it is "Flavo-1 RNA". It matches the Rfam family "Flavo-1 RNA". Lineage: Bacteria; Pseudomonadati; Bacteroidota; Flavobacteriia; Flavobacteriales; Flavobacteriaceae. The record is from RNAcentral.
UUUUAGCCCCGAUAGCAGUGAAAAUCCUUUUGUGUCCGUCCCGAUAGCUAUCGGGAGGCACAAAAGAUUGUAACGGAUAGCGGGAUUAGCU